RNAcentral lists this ribosomal RNA (154 nucleotides) under uncultured bacterium. RNAcentral describes it as "partial 16S ribosomal RNA". The record is from RNAcentral.
CAAGUGUAGGGGUGAAUGAAGUCUGAUGCAGCCAUGCCGCGUGAGUGAUGAAGGCCCUAGGGUUGUAAAGCUCUUUCUUCAGGGAAGAAAAUGACUGUACCUGUAUAAGAUGGACCGGACCGGUCCAUUCCAGCACCGCCAUCUCUAUGCAUGA